AUGUUGUGCUGUCACUCUAUCAAGGUUCUGAUACGAAACGACAUACUCAAAAUCCCGAGUAAGAACAUCGUGAAGAGGUGGACCAAAAUGGCAAAGGAAGUGCAGCCUUCAAACCUUGCUCUGCCUCAUGCAUCGAUUCAGCCAGACGAUGCUUCAUACCGGCAAAAUAUCCUGUACAUUGCCGCUCUAGAAACGGUGAAGGAGACCUCCCUUUGCAAGGGCAUGCUUGACAAGACACUAAAAGUUUUUCAGGAACUGAGGACCGAAGCUAGACAUAUGCGAUUGCUGGAGGAGGAAAGCCAUAAUGAGCCGGGUGAAGGACGGUGUGAUGCAGAUAAUUUCAUUGCCAUCACGUCAUGUGAGCAGUUGCAUCCGCCAAAGCGAGUGAAAUCCAAAGGUAGGACAGCAACUGUAAGGAUGAAAUCAAGGAUGGAUUAUGUAUCACUCUUCCAGCAAAAGAGCAAGAAGGUUGAUAGUGUUUACAAUCAACCAAACUUUCUGUCAGAAAUCGGAAGAGACAACACCUCUAGCGACCAUCAUAAUGAUUUGAUAUCCCAAUACAAGAGGGUUAUCAAAUGUAGCAGAUGUAAGGGAGAAGGUCAUAAUAGGUCAUCGUGCAAGAAACGCGGGUUCUGA
This 636-nucleotide ribosomal RNA is filed under the name Triticum aestivum (bread wheat). RNAcentral describes it as "partial small subunit ribosomal RNA". Lineage: Eukaryota; Viridiplantae; Streptophyta; Magnoliopsida; Poales; Poaceae. The record is from RNAcentral.